CCCUUAGAUGUUCUGGGCCGCACGCGCGCUACACUGAUGCAUUCAACGAGCCUAUCCUUGACCGACAGGUCCGGGUAAUCUUUGAAUCUGCAUCGUGACGGGGCUAGAUUAUUGCAAUUAUUAAUCUUCAACGAGGAAUGCCUAGUAAGCGUGAUUCAUCAAAUCGCGUUGAUUACGUCCCUGCCCUUUGUACACACCGCCCGUCGCUCCUACCGAUUGAAUGUGUUGGUGAGGAGCUCGGAUUGGCAGCAGUUGGUGGUUCGCCACCGGCUAUUGCUGAGAAGUCCUCCAAACCGCCCCAUUUAGAGGAAGGAGAAGUCGUAACA
This 326-nucleotide ribosomal RNA is filed under the name uncultured eukaryote. RNAcentral's name for it is "partial 18S ribosomal RNA". It matches the Rfam family "Eukaryotic small subunit ribosomal RNA", at positions 1470 to 1796 of the family's 1831-position model. The record is from RNAcentral.